This 484-nucleotide ribosomal RNA is filed under the name uncultured bacterium. RNAcentral's name for it is "partial 16S ribosomal RNA". It matches the Rfam family "Bacterial small subunit ribosomal RNA", at positions 30 to 507 of the family's 1533-position model. The record is from RNAcentral.
AUUGAACGCUGGCGGCAGGCCUAACACAUGCAAGUCGAGCGGAUGAAGGGAGCUUGCUCCUGGAUUCAGCGGCGGACGGGGGAGUAAUGCCUAGGAAUCUGCCUGGUAGUGGGGGAUAACGUCCGGAAACGGGCGCUAAUACCGCAUACGUCCUUAGGGAGAAAGUGGGGGAUCUUCGGACCUCACGCUAUCAGAUGAGCCUAGGUCGGAUUAGCUAGUUGGUGGGGUAAAGGCCUACCAAGGCGACGAUCCGUAACUGGUCUGAGAGGAUGAUCAGUCACACUGGAACUGAGACACGGUCCAGACUCCUACGGGAGGCAGCAGUGGGGAAUAUUGGACAAUGGGCGAAAGCCUGAUCCAGCCAUGCCGCGUGUGUGAAGAAGGUCUUCGGAUUGUAAAGCACUUUAAGUUGGGAGGAAGGGCAGUAAGUUAAUACCUUGCUGUUUUGACGUUACCAACAGAAUAAGCACCGGCUAACUUCGUG